UACGUAGGGUGCGAGCGUUGUCCGGAAUUAUUGGGCGUAAAGGGUGCGUAGGCGGUUUGGUAAGUCUUAUGUGAAAUCUACAGGCUCAACUUGUAGUCUGCAUGAGAAACUGCCGGGCUUGAGUAUGGGAGAGGUGAGUGGAAUUCCUGGUGUAGCGGUGAAAUGCGUAGAUAUCAGGAGGAACACCUGUGGCGAAAGCGGCUCACUGGCCCGAUACUGACGCUGAGGCACGAAAGCGUGGGGAGCAAACAGG
Molecule: ribosomal RNA, 253 nt
Filed under: uncultured bacterium
Lineage: Bacteria
Description: partial 16S ribosomal RNA
Rfam family: Bacterial small subunit ribosomal RNA
Source: RNAcentral